This 489-nucleotide ribosomal RNA is filed under the name uncultured bacterium. RNAcentral describes it as "partial 16S ribosomal RNA". It matches the Rfam family "Bacterial small subunit ribosomal RNA", at positions 28 to 507 of the family's 1533-position model. The record is from RNAcentral.
GACGAACGCUGGCGGCGUGCUUAACACAUGCAAGUCGAACGGUGAAGGGACCAGCUUGCUGGUUCUGGAUGAGUGGCGAACGGGUGAGUAACACGUGAGUAACCUGCCCCCUUCUUCUGGAUAACCGCAUGAAAGUGUGGCUAAUACGGGAUAUUCUGGGUCUGUCGCAUGGCGGGCCCGGGAAAGAUAUUGCUUCGGUGGGGGAUGGGCUCGCGGCCUAUCAGCUUGUUGGUGGGGUGAUAGCCUACCAAGGCGGUGACGGGUAGCCGGCCUGAGAGGGUGGGCGGUCACACUGGGACUGAGACACGGCCCAGACUCCUACGGGAGGCAGCAGUGGGUAAUAUUGCACAAUGGGCGCAAGCCUGAUGCAGCGACGCCGCGUGAGGGAUGGAGGCCUUCGGGUUGUAAACCUCUUUCGCCAGUGAAGCAGGCCUGCUCCUUGUGGGUGGGUUGACGGUAGCUGGAUAAGAAGCGCCGGCUAACUACGUG